UGCCAAUAGUUAGCUGCGGAUUCAAUGAUCUAUCCGUCUUCUACAGAUUCCUACGUAUCAAGGAGAUAACUAGUGAAAAUACUCUGAAACGUUAUGGGAUUUUCUUGUCUUGGCUUUCCUGGUUUUAUUUAUUUACGUAUUUAUUUAUUUAUUUAUUUACUAUUAUUAUUUUAAAUAAAGCACAGGCAAGGCAACCCUUGCUCUCUGUUCUGUCCGGCAAGAUGCGCGCGAUUCGAUUCGAAUUUGUCUCGAGAGGCCACUUGUGUGCAACACUUCCGCUUUGAUUUUCAACGGCGGGAGGGUCUGGUCUGUCUUGCAGUGACAGAUUGCAUUAGGGGAGGGGGAACCUGGUUCAAUUUUCGUCUGGACAAUUUGUUCCUUUCUGAUGUGCAAGCGGUGAACACACGCAGACAUAAUACAUAAUAGUAGUAGUAUUUACUAUAUUAGUUGCUG
This 453-nucleotide small RNA is filed under the name Histoplasma capsulatum var. duboisii H88. RNAcentral's name for it is "Histoplasma capsulatum H88 hypothetical RNA". Lineage: Eukaryota; Fungi; Ascomycota; Eurotiomycetes; Onygenales; Ajellomycetaceae. The record is from RNAcentral.